RNAcentral lists this ribosomal RNA (493 nucleotides) under Pelagomacellicephala iliffei. RNAcentral describes it as "partial 16S ribosomal RNA". It matches the Rfam family "Bacterial large subunit ribosomal RNA", at positions 1832 to 2607 of the family's 2925-position model. Lineage: Eukaryota; Metazoa; Annelida; Polychaeta; Phyllodocida; Polynoidae. The record is from RNAcentral.
UUUAGUCUCUCAUAUUAAAAGUAAAUCCUGCCCAGUGAAUAUUUAAACGGCCGCGGUAUCCUAACCGUGCAAAGGUAGCAUAAUCAUUUGCCUUAUAAUUCAAGGCUAGUAUGAACGGAUAAACGAAAUUCCUUCUGUAUCAUUAUUAUUUCUAAAAAUUAUAUUUCAAGUGAAGAUACUUGAAUUUUUUUGAAAGACAAGAAGACCCUAUAGAGUUUUAGUAGAUCUAUCCCCCUCCAAAUAUACUACUUUAGUUGGGGCGACUAAGGAUAAACUAAAUCAUCCUCAAUCCUUUUAGAAUUAUUAUUCAUUUAUAACGAUCCUACCUUUUAGAUUGAAAAACUUAACUACCUUAGGGAUAACAGGCUUAUCUUUCUAUCAAGUCCAAAUUAACAGAAAGGAUUGGCACCUCGAUGUUGGCUUAGAGUAACCUAUUAAUGUAGCAGUUAAAAAUCGGUUAGUUUGUUCAACUAUUAAUUCUCUACGUGAUCUG